UACGUAGGGUGCGAGCGUUGUCCGGAAUUAUUGGGCGUAAAGAGCUCGUAGGCGGUCUGUCGCGUCUGCUGUGAAAACCCGAGGCUCAACCUUGGGCUUGCAGUGGGUACGGGCAGACUAGAGUGCGGUAGGGGUGACUGGAAUUCCUGGUGUAGCGGUGGAAUGCGCAGAUAUCAGGAGGAACACCGAUGGCGAAGGCAGGUCACUGGGCCGCAACUGACGCUGAGGAGCGAAAGCAUGGGGAGCAAACAGG
Molecule: ribosomal RNA, 253 nt
Filed under: uncultured bacterium
Lineage: Bacteria
Description: partial 16S ribosomal RNA
Rfam family: Bacterial small subunit ribosomal RNA
Source: RNAcentral